CCCGCUGAACUUAAGCAUAUCAAUAAGCGGAGGAAAAGAAACUAACAAGGAUUCCCCUAGUAACUGCGAGUGAAGCGGGAAAAGCUCAAAUUUAAAAUCUGUCAGUCUUUGGCUGUCCGAGUUGUAAUCUAGAGAAGUGUUAUCCGCGCUGGACCGUGUACAAGUCUCCUGGAAUGGAGCGUCAUAGAGGGUGAGAAUCCCGUCUUUGACACGGACUGCCAGGGCUUUUGUGAUGCGCUCUCAAAGAGUCGAGUUGUUUGGGAAUGCAGCUCAAAAUGGGUGGUAAAUUCCAUCUAAAGCUAAAUAUUGGCGAGAGACCGAUAGCGAACAAGUACCGUGAGGGAAAGAUGAAAAGAACUUUGGAAAGAGAGUUAAACAGUACGUGAAAUUGCUGAAAGGGAAACGCUUGAAGUCAGUCGCGUCAUCCAGGGAUCAACCUUGCUUUUGCUUGGUGUACUUUCUGGUUGACGGGUCAGCAUCAAUUUUGACCAUUGGAAAAAGAUUAGGGAAUGUGGCAUCCUCGGAUGUGUUAUAACCCUUGUUCAUAUACAGUGGUUGGGAUUGAGGAACUCAGUGCUUGCACUCAGGAUGCUGACAUAAUGGCUUUAAUCGACCCGUCUUGAAACACGG
This 630-nucleotide ribosomal RNA is filed under the name uncultured fungus. RNAcentral describes it as "eukaryotic LSU rRNA". It matches the Rfam family "Eukaryotic large subunit ribosomal RNA", at positions 24 to 664 of the family's 3401-position model. Lineage: Eukaryota; Fungi. The record is from RNAcentral.